Molecule: transfer RNA, 77 nt
Filed under: Bacillota bacterium
Lineage: Bacteria; Bacillati; Bacillota
Description: tRNA-Pro
Rfam family: tRNA
About the family: Transfer RNA (tRNA) molecules are approximately 80 nucleotides in length.
Source: RNAcentral
CGGGGCGUAGCGCAGCUUGGUAGCGCGCUUGGUUCGGGACCAAGAGGUCGCGAGUUCGAAUCUCGCCGCUCCGACCA